UAUAGGUGAUUUAUAUGAGAAUGCAACAACAACAGAAAUGAAAGAUAGACUGGCAAAACGAAAUAAGAAUGAGGAAACCAUUUAUGAAAACCCAGAGCCGUCAAAACCAUCUGAAGAAAAGAAUGUGAACAAGGAUGGACUUAUUUAUGCUGACCUUACAUUCAAUGAUCCACCAAAGGGCCAAAAGAAGCUUGUAAUACAUGGACUGGACAGCAUGACAGAAUAUGUUCAAGUUGACUUCACAAAGAAAGCAGAUCCUUUACCAGAUAGUGAUGAUGAAAAUAAUUCACCAAAACACUCUACUUAAUGUGUCUAUUGCAGAUGUCUUCCAUUCAAGUCUUAACAAAUCAAUAUUUUUGAUAGACAUUUACAUGUUGAUUAAUAUUCAUUAUUUGUUUAAUUGUUUAUUGUUAUAAUUUGUAUUCAAUUCAAACUAAUAGUUGCUAAUGAUUUAAGAAAAUGAUAUAAAAGUUCAGCAUAAAUACUGAAUAUGGCGUUCUUGUAUUAGCAUUUUUUGCAUCAGUAAUUAAGAAUUGUUUUACAUAAUUACCCUAGAACUUAUUUGGAGUGAUGCAUGGGCGGUUACAUUCUUUGAAUGUGGCUUUUUUCUGUUGAACUUUUGUCAUUAUUUUUGUUUUAAUUAAAGUAAUUUUUAUUUAAUUCUUUUGAUCUGUUAAUUAUGUUUAUGCUUUUGUUACUUGAAUAUUUCAGUUUUAUACGCCUGUUUUAAACAAUGGACGUAUUAUGUUAUGGCAUGUCCGUCUGUCCAUCUGCCAUACAGAGUGUCUGGAGUAUGACUCAGUAUCAAUUCAAGAUAUUGACUUUUAACUUUGUAUAUUGGUAGAUGGCGAUUAGUAGAUAUGUAGAGCAUAUGAACCUGGUCAAAAGUCAUGGUCACAAGUGGAACUCAGAAGUUCAUAUUAGACCAUGUUUGUGUUGGGAGCAUAACUGAAUAAGUAUGAAAUCAAGUUAUUGACUUCAAUCUUAGCAUAUAGGUAGGUGGCAAUGAAACAAUGUGCAGAGCGCAUAAAUCAGGUAGGUAGGUCAAUGUUCCAGGUCACAACAAGGUCAGAUACGUCCGUCAAAUUUUAUGUCUAGAGCAUUAGUUGAUAACUCAUGGUAUUUACUUCAAACUUGACAUAUAGGUAGGUAGCGAUGAAAUGAGAGCAUGGUGUAUAAUUUUGGUCUCAAGGUCAAGGUUAAUUUUAAAUAUGUUCAGGGCACAACUUGAAAACUUUUCUAGAUACACCUGGAAUGUUCACCUUGAUGAUAUCUAGGUCAAGUUCAAAACUGGGUCACGUGCCAUCAAAAUCUAGGUCAUUAGGUCAAAUAAUAGAAAAACCUUGUGACCUCUCUAGAGGCCAUAUAUUUCAUGGGAUCUGUAUGAAAGUUGGUCUGAAUGUUCAUCUUGAUGAUAUCUAGGUGAAGUUUAAAACUGGGUCAGCUGCGGUCAAAAACCAGGUCAGUAGGUCUAAACAUAGAAAAAUCUUUUGUCCUCUGUAGAAGCCAUACUUUUCAAUGGGUCUUCAUGACAAUUGGUGAGAAUGUUCACCUUGAUGAUAUCUAGGUCAAGUUUGAAACUGGGUCACGUGUGAUUAAAAACUAGGUCAGUAGGUCUAAAAAUAGAAAAACUUUGUGACCUCUCUAGAGGCCAUAUUUUUCAUGAGAUCUUCAUGACAAUUGGUGAGAAUGUUCACCUUGAUGAUAUCUAGGUCAAGUUCAAAACUGGGUCAUGUACCUUAAAAACUAGGUCAGUAGGUCAAAUAAUAGAAAAACGUUGUUACCUCUCUAGAGGCCAUAUUUUUCAAUGGAUCUUCAUGAAAAUUGGUCAGAAUUUUUAUCUUGAUGAUAUCUAGGUCAAGUUCAAAACUUGGUCACAUGAGCUCAAAAACUAGGUCACUAUGUCAAAUAAUAAAAAAAGGACAUCAUACUCAGUUCAAAACUGGGUCAUGUGGGGACAGGUGAGCGAUUCAGGACCAUCAUGGUCCUCUUGUUUUUAUUUCUCUCUGCAGAUCCAGAGUUAUGUAUUAAGGGCACAUAUGUUUAUGUCCUGUGUAUUUCAUAAUGUACUUUGACUUGACCUAAAGUCGUAAAACAUGAGAAGAUUGUUAUAUAGCCUAUCAAAUAGAAAAAAAAAGAAACUCCAGAGGUUGCUCAACGAAAAAAAAACGAAAAUGUUGCAGGCUCGGUUUGAUUGAGCCUGUUCAUGGACGGUAGUGGAAAUGCAUGCUACCGUCCACGCCCUCUAGCCCCUGGUUGAGCAGAACUCAACAUUAACACAUGCUCCAAGUACAAAAAUCAAUUUAGAAACAUCUGCAGAUGUAUUCAUACGUUGGUGCACAUUGAACCUUCAAUGAUACACUAGGGUGUAAUUCCAUGCAAAGCCUGCAUAUCACAGGAAAGACAAAAUUAAAAAAGCAGGCACCAUAUCCAAGUACCCAAAGCUAUGAAAGCGGGAGUAUUGAAACCGCCGAGGCCGAAAUGUUCAAGCUGAUAAACUAAACCAUGCCAAUAACACGACAUAAAAGUCAUGCUGAACAAUCUGAGAAUAUCAAAUAUGAAGUUGUACACCCUGUGGUCUAUUUUGGAUUUCUCUCGGCUAGACCAGAGUUAUGGUCCUUGGCAUAGUGAAAAAUACACAAAGUGUUUAGAAGUUUGUCUUGCAUAUAACUUUCACAUAGUCAUGAAAUGUGUAGUUACAAUAAGUGGGGGCACCUGUGUCCUAUGAACACACAUCUAGAUAAUAAAAUUGAUGAGUUUUAGCUAAUUGACCUUAACAGUUUUGUUACAGUAAGAUCCCUAGGACCAUACUUUGGAUCACCACAGGGGAGCUAGACAUAGAGUUUCAGUUGUAAAUCUUUAUUAAAUUUUUUCGAAACUUCUCUUUCAAUGGAUUAUAUAUACUUUAUUAACUAUCACAACAGUCUUUAAGUGCCAAGUACAGGGGCAUCAUUAACAGCCACCGCACAGCACUGAAAGGCUGCGUUUUUAAUAUGUAAUAAACAUAUUUAAAGAUUCUUUUGAGGCAAAGAAUGCAUUUGAGCAAAGUAAAACUAAGCUUGGUUUGAUCUAAUGAAACAUGCACUACAAGACCCCGUAACACAUACUUCAAACAUGGAAUUCAUUCAUUGUGACAUAAACUACAUGAUCAAUUUUAUAAUUUGCAGUAUGGUCUUACAUGUCUGCCUGUGUCAGACAGGUUUUUCCCAACCCCCAGGGCAGCACAGACAGGAUAACCUGACUAGCAAUCAGUUUUACAUUUCCCGCUGCUCCUAAGGUUGUGAAGACCCUGUCUUACACAGGGAGGUAAUUAAGAUCCUUAUAAGCCCAAAGGACCAGGAAAUAAACAGAGUCUACAAUUAUUAUGCUUUGUAUGCUGAAUGAUCUUUUACAUUGAAAUAACCCUUAUUAUGCUGGACAUGAUUGGUUUUAUCUUUGCGACCAGUGUAGAUCAUGAUUAGCCUGCACAUACAUGCAGUCUGAUCAUGAUCUACACUGUUUACUAUUUAGCCAGUAUCUUUUUCGUAAGCACCCCUUAUAAUGGUAAUGUCCAAAUUGGAAGGGACAAGUUCAUUAUAGAAAUUUAGCAGUGUAAGGGUUAAUUAAGAUAAUGACCUUAAAAGGGCAAAGCUGUAUGUUAUGGGUUUUUUUUCAAAGAAACCAAGUGUUAAUUUGUUGAAAGUUCAAGCUAAAUCUACAGGUGUCUGUAUUUUGACAUGGAUUUACAUAUUUCAAACUUAGUUAAAAAAACAACUGCAAAGUUACAAGACUUUGAAGUAAGAUAUUUUACAAGCUGGUCGUCCUUUCUUGGACCAGUAUUUUGACUGCCACAGGGGUCCUUUUUCUACACAUGCAAGAAAUUUCUACAUGGUAUUGAUACCCAUGAAUAAAUUUUUAAGGUCCUUGUGAAUGAUUGCAACACUUGUUCUUGUCCAUUUGAAUAAAUUUUUAAUUCAAAACAUACAUAUUACCUUAGGUCUGUGUAGCAUUGCAUAUAUUCAAAGGUAAAGACUCCCAUGUGUGUCUUAGACCUCUUGUUGUGUGUUAAAAUGGAAGCGCUCUUACCAUUGCAUGAUAUGAUCGUAAGAGGUGACUAAUGGGGUCUUGACAUGUUUGAAUGUAUCUGUACAAGUUUUGAUGUAAAUUAGAUCUGAAACCAAAGUUUUAGUCCUGUUUGGCUCCUUGUAACCUGCUGUUUGUUGGUGUACUGUGAAACCAAAAUCAGCAAGAGUAAAGAGUGAAGGUCCGUUGAGUGCCUAGGAGUAAUUAUUGCCUUCUUGUUUUGAGUGUGCAAAUAUAUAUUUAGAUUUUAUGUGCUUAUUCUGAUACAUUUGUGUAUAUGUACAAUGAUUGAGAAAAUAUUUAAUUUUAAUUUAUGACAAUAUAACAUUCCUACAGUUGUGUUCAUGUCUGUUAUUGUAGUUGCAUAUGUUACAAAUGAUAUGUGUAUAUUUUUAGAUUUUUUGACUUGCAGAGUAUUAUUUUGAAAUGAAAUCUUUUUUUCAAACUGAUUUGAACCAAAGGUUCAGUGUGAGCUCUUAGAAUAGGCUGAUGAUCCGAUAUUCAUUCAUUACUAACACUCUAGAGGUUACGAUUUUGGCAUAAUCAGAAUAAAACCUUGACGAAAUGUUUAUCUCAACAAAAUUUCCUUUGGGUUAUCCAAAGUUAAAGUAAUACCACAAGAUCGAUGGCUGCACUGACUUCAGAUCAUUUGCCCCUCAUCGAUAUAGGUUUGAGCCUCACUUUGGGCAUUGAAUUCUUCAUGUGAGGGAGCUAUCCGGUUGGCUUACAGAAGGUUGUUGGUUCAACCCAGGUGCCAGCUCGUGAAGAAAUAAUGCACGGAGGGUCUUCCUCUACCAUCAAAGCUGGAAAGUCACCAUACGACAUAUGAUUGUGUUGGUGCGACGUUAAACCCAACAAAAUAAAAAGAUAUAUCACAAGGUCAGAUAAUAGAAAAAACCUUGUAAACAUUCUAGCCACCACAAUUUCAAUUUUAUUUGUCUAGGUCAAGUUCAAAACUAGGUUAUUUAGGCUCAGAAAAGAAAAUUAUAGGAAAAACAUUAUCAAUUUACAUGAAACUUAGGUCAAGUUCGAAAUAAUGUCAUCUUAGAUAAAAAAAAAUGAUGCACUAGAUCAAAAUGAACAACAUUUUUUAAGCUCUUCAGGUAUCUUUUUCCCCUUAUAUGACUUUGCAAGUUCAAAUCUGAGUCAUCUGGUCAUGGUCUUUCAUUACUUUUGAUCAGUGUUUUUUGUUUAAAUGCCAGACAGUUUUGUAGAAAUCACCCACUUUUGCCAUCUUGGAUAUAAAAGAUGUUCCAAACUUUACAAUCAGAAUGUUAUUAAUUCAAUGUAGCCGAGGAUUUCUUGGCAUUAUUAUGUCUCCCACCACACAGUGGUGUGGGAGACAUAUUGAUUUACUCCAGUCUGUGUGUCUGUCUGUCUGUCACAAAGCUUGUCCGCACUCUUAAGUCGAACAUUUCUUAUCCGAUCUUCACCAAACUUCAACAAAAUGUGUCUGCCAAUAAGUGCUCGGCCAAGUUCGAUAACUAGCCAAAUCGGCCUAGGGACUUCGGAAUUAUGGCCCUUGAAUUACCAAAAUCACUCAGAUUUCUUGCGUAGUUUUACCUCCAAACCGAGCUCUAUACUACUAGUAGUAUAGGGGUCCUUUUGGGGUCAAGAAAGUGCAAUGCACAUGUGGAUUCAGUAAACAGUAUAUAAAGACUGACUUAUUAUUUAGAUGAUUAGGCAGUUGUGGGAGACAUGCGCUUUUCUCAAAAGCAUCUCUAGUUUUUGGUGUAAAUGAGAUGUGGAACCAAAAUUUGUAGUCCUGUUUGGCGCCAUGCUGGUGCGCUGUAAAACCCAAAUAAAUAAAUUAUAAUACAUACAUAAUGCAAAAAACAAACUUUUUUUUUGUGGGGGUGUGGGGGGAGAUGGGACUUAUGAUGGGAUCUACUUUCCAGAUUUUAUCUAUUUUUCUUCUGGUAAUAUUUUGACCUCAUACUUCCAUUAAUUCUUCGAAUAGCCGAGCACGCUGUCAACAGACAGCUCUUGUUGAAAAGAAGUAUGGUUUGACCUUGAAAUUGACCUGGACUUUGAACCAUCAAACACCAAUUAUGACAAUGUUUUAAAUUGACUAAACUGUUGAAUUAUUUAAAAAAAAAAAAUUUUAAUUAAUUUUUGUCACACCUGGCAAAAAUGAUGGCUAUCUUGGAUUUCUCAUCAAUUUGUUGGGGUUUUUUUUGCAAGAAUGAUAAAUUUGCCAGAUAUUUAUAACAUCAUUUGGUAUACUGGUACUUUGAUGACCAAAUAGCCCUUGAAAUAAGCUCUUCUUUGGCUGUAAUAUAGGGAUAUUGUAAUGCAGUCCCAGUGUUUAGGCAUUGUACCUAUUUUAAAGAAUGUUAAAAAAUUGAAUUAAGUAUAUACUGUUAUAUAUGAUCAAUGGCAUGAUAUAACAACUUUUGUUUCUGUCAUCAGUAAUGGAAUAAUGUUCAAAAGAUGAUGGUUACUUAAGACAGUACUAGAUAUCUCCCUUAUCAAUUUGCAUAUACAGUGUCAGAAUUCACCCAAACUGUUUCAUGUAGCAAACAAAAAACAUGUAUGUUCUUAGAUAUUUAUUCAGUUCUCUUUUUAUGAUAUAUAAUGGAUUAAAGAUAUAUAUGUAAUUAAUAAAAAUAUUUGGUAUUUUAUAAAAAAAUUAAAAUGAGGUCUUUAUGAUAGUAAUUAUGAUGUGACAACUUAACGUUAUGAUAUCUGUAAGACAUACUCUAUGUAAGUUAUAAUACAUAUAUACAAGUAAUCUUAUGUCUUUGACAUAGUAUCUCAUAAUUUGCGAGUUUCAAUGUCAAAAGGGAACAUUUUGUCAAAUUUUUAAAAAUGUUCAUAUAUUGUUUCAAUAAAUAAUAACUGUGGUCGUCAUUUCCGGAUUGAAAGUUAGGGACCAAGAGGGUAAAACAUAAAAUGGUAUGACAUGAGGUAUCUGUAUACAUAGUUUUGUCUGCAUGAUGGACAUUUUCAUGUGAUAUAGCACAUAACUAUCAGUUAUAUAAAAUCAGUACACAUAUAUGGAAAAGCAACUUAAACAAAAACAGUUGCCAGAUAUAUGUCGCUACUUAAACAAAAAAACAGUGUGUUAAGUUCAUCAAAAUAAGCCAAACAAUUUCUACGAAAAGGCAAUUUCAGAGUAACGGUGAAAAUGUAAAAUUGAAAUUCAAGAAGUACAAGAGGGCAAAGAUUGCCUUAUACUGCUACUUUAAUGUUUGAAUAAUGCAAGUCAAAUCCAAAUACAAAUUUUUUGGAGAAUUUUAUGUAAGUUUUAUGAAUGAUGCUAAAGACCACGCUAAUGUGAUAAAAAUCUGAAAUACAAACUUUUGACUUGUACAGUCGUGACAUCACUGGGGUGUUACUAAAGUAAUCGUGCCCACUAUUAAAGUUGACAGGGAACUAAAAUGGAAAUUAACAUGCCAAGUUUCGUAACUUGAACUUGAAAAAAAUCUUCUUGUCUGAAACCACAAGACCUAGGCCUUUGAUGUUUGGUAUGUAGCAGUGCCUUGUGGUUUUCUACCAAGAUUGUUCAAAUUAUGCCCCUUGGGUGAAAAGAGGUCCCCGGGAGUCCCAAAUUUUACAUAGACUUAUAUAGGAAAAAAAAUCUUCUUGUGUGAAACUGCAAGGCCUAGGCUUUUCAUUUUUGGUAUGUUGCAUUGCCUAGUGGUCCUUUACCAAGAUUGUUCAAAUUAUGUCUCUUGGGUAAAGAGGCCCUUACAUAGACUUAUGUAAGAACAAAAUUUUAAAAAUCUUCUUGACUGAAAGUUCAAGGCCUAGGCUUUUGAUAUACAGUAUGUAGCAUUGCCUAGUGGCUCUCUAACAAGAUUGUUCAAAUUAUGCCCCUGGGGUGAAAAGAGGCCCCGCCCUGAGGGUCACAUAGUUUUUAUACGAGUUUUAUAGGAAAAAAUACUUCAAAAAUAUCUGAUCAUAUUUCCUAGACUGUUUAAUUAUAAUUAAAACUGACUUUUAGUGACCAUGAUUGUGACCUACUGACCUACCCUCUUGUUUUUAGCUCACCUGAAUAUGGGUCAUGUAGGGACAAAAACCAGGUCACCCGGUCAUAUUAAAGAAAAACUUUGUAUGCGAUAGAGGCUGCAUUUUAUACUGAAUAUUCAUAAAAUUUAGUCAAAAUGAUUACCUUGAUGAUAUCUAGGUCAAGCUAGAAUAUGGGUCAUCUGUGGUCAAAAACUAGGUCACUGAGUCAAAUCAAAGAAAAACCUCAUGUAUGCGAUACAGACUGUGUUUUUCAAUUGAUCUUCAUGAAAUUUGGCCAGAAUGAUAGCCUUGGUGAAAUUAAGGUCAAGUUUGAAUAUGGGUCAUCUGGGGUCAAAAACUAGGUUGUUGGGGGAAAAAAACAAAAAAACGUUUCGUAUGUGAUAGAGGCUGUAUUUUUCAGUUGUGGUUCAUGAAAUUUGGUAAGAAUGAUUUCCUUGAUCAAAUCUAGGUCAAAUUUGAAAGUAGGUCAUCUUCGCUCAAAAACUAGGUCACUAGGUCAAAUUGAAGUUAGUACUUGUUUACACUUGAGACCACAUUUUUGGUACAAUCUUAAUGAAAAUUGGUCAGAAUAUUUGCUUCCAUGAAAUCACUAAGUCAACCAUGUUUACAUUGUUAUGGUGUGAUCUCAGGUGAGCGACCUAUGGCCAUCUUUGCCCUUUUGUUUAAGAUACAGCCUUAAAAUUUGGAUGACAUGUACAGUUGUGCACACCGAUCUUAAAACUGAUUUUCAGUGACCUUGAAUGUGACCUACUGACCUACCUUCUUGUUUUUGUGCCCCCCCCACCCCGAGUGGUGGGGGCAUAUAGAUUUGGUCUUAUCCGUCCGUCCGUCUGUCCAUCCGUCCGUCCGAAGUUCGUGACGCGCCUAGCUUGAAAAGUAUUUGAUAUAAAUUGAUGAAACCUUGCAUGAGUCUUUAUCAUGAUAUGAACUUGCGCAUCUCCUAUUUUUCGUCUGGCUCCACCCCCUAUUGUCAGAGUUAUGGCCCCUGAAAUAGUCAAAAAUGCACAUUUUCACCUUGUGACACGCCUAGCUCAAAAAAGUAUUUGAUAUAGAUUCAUGAAACCUUGCAUGAGUCUUAAUCAUGAUAUGAACUUGCGCACCUCCUAUUUUUCAUCUGGCUCCGCCCUCUAUUUUCAGAGUUAUGGCCCCUGAAAUAGUCAAAAAUGCACAUUUUCACCUUGUGACAUGUCUAGCUCAAAAAGUAUUUGAUAUACAUUCAUGAAACCUUGCACGAGUCUUAAUCAUGAUAUGAACUUGCGCACCUCCUAUUUUUUAUCUGGCUCCACCCCCUAUUUUCAGAGUUAUGGCCCCUGAAAUAGUCAAAAAUACACAUUUUCACCUUGUGACACACCUAGCUCAAAAAGUAUUUGAUAUAGAUUCAUGAAACCUUGCACGAGUCUUAAUCAUGAUAUGAACUUGUGCACCUCCUAUUUUUCAUUUGGGUCUGCCCCCAAUUUUCAGAGUUAUGGCCCCUGAAGUACUGUAGUCAAAAAUGCACAUUUUCACCUUCUGACAUGCCUAGCUCAAAAAGUAUUUGAUGUAGAUUCAUGAAACCUUGCAUGAGUCUUAAUCAUGAUAUGAACUUGUGCACCUCCUAUUUUUGAUUUGGGUCCGCCCCCUAUUUUCAGAGUUAUGGCCCCUGAUGUACAUUUUCACCUUGUGACACACCUAGCUCAAAAAGUAUUUAAUAUAAAUGGUUGAAAACUCGCAUAAGUCUUUAUCAUGAUAUAAACUUGCACACCUCUAAUUUUUUGGCUGGCUCCACCCCUUAUUUUUAAAGUUAUGGCCCCUGAAAUAGUAAAAAAAGGCACUUUUUCACCUAAUUAUAUACCUAGCUCAAAAAGUAUUUGAUGUAAAUUCAGGAAACCUUGCUGGAGUCUUUAUCGUGAUGUGACCUUGCACACUUGGCAUUCUUCUUGAGAAUCUUCGCUCUUAUUACAGAGUUAUGGCCCUUGAAAUAGCCAAAAUAGUGGAUUUUUUGUUUGUGAUGCUCAUAGCUCAAAAAGUAUAGGGCGUAGAAUAAUGAAUCCUUUUCAUAAAAUGUUUGUUUAGGCUAUACCCCAUUACGCCUGCAAACAUUUGAAUUAUUGCCACUUAUUUGUGACAAAUGUACCAGUGGGGGGCACACCCUGUGUCCUACAGACACAUUCUAGUUUAAGAUACAGCUUUGAAAUUUGAAUGACAUAGUUUUGCAUGCCGAUCUUUAAACAGACUUUCAGUGACCAUCAGUGUAACCUACUGACCUACUUUCUUGUUUUCUAAGCUACAGCAAAAGGAUUUGGACCACCUGUAAUAUUUUUUUUGCAAAUUUCAAAAGUAAUCUUGCAUAAUCUUUACCUUGACCCACUCUCCUAAUUUUCUUGUUUUUAAAGCUUUAGCUAAGAAAUUUUUCAAGCUAACAGCUCUACUCAGGUGAGCGAUAUAGAGACAUCAUGACCCUCUUGUUGAUUUCUCUUCCCCCCCCCCCCCCCCCCCCCCCACCAACCCCGAAAAAAAAAAAGGAACCAAAAAUGUACGAACUGCUGAAGGGUACCAUGGUUUUCAUAUUUGUGGUGGUUUUCCAAGGUGAAGUAACUCUCGUGGCCAAUUAUUCCGAUGCUAACUCGUUACUGGACCCAUACAAUGACUUUAUUUUGGGCAGUCUAGAUCUUAAAGCGCUGAAUGAUCGUGGCGAAACCGGCUGUAUACAAGCGUUCGUUGGUUGAUCUAAAGUUGGGUCAUCACAAACGCAGGUACAUCCAGCUACUAAAUAAAAUGUUGAUAACAUGUAAUAUGAGAGUAAAAAAAUAGGUCUACAAGUUUGUUUUUCCUUUAUUCUGUUUUUGCUGUUUGUCUUGACUUAUACUCAGGGGUUCGAUUUAUAUAUAAAUAGCUGUCAUUUUGAAUAUAAAAGGCUUGAUUAUGUGAGUUUAAACUGAAUAUAUCUCGUGUUGAUAAAAAGGACCCUUCAGCUGAAAUCCUAGGAGUCUGUAUGUACACUUUUGUUAAUUUUCAAGAGUCAAAAUCCCUACUCUCGGGUCAAAUGGAACCCCUGCGUACAGUUGUUUUAAAGAUAAAA
Mercenaria mercenaria is the source of this 11095-nucleotide long non-coding RNA. RefSeq lists it as uncharacterized. The transcript is spliced from 2 exons. The record is from RefSeq and is a predicted model, not a curated record. Lineage: Eukaryota; Metazoa; Mollusca; Bivalvia; Venerida; Veneridae.